Non-coding RNA from Pogona vitticeps (central bearded dragon), 11166 nucleotides. NCBI's taxonomy places the organism in Eukaryota, Metazoa, Chordata, Lepidosauria, Squamata, Agamidae. The record is from RefSeq and is a predicted model, not a curated record.
AGACGGCGGGCUCUCCCCGCACGGGAGGCGGAAAGGCACUCGCUCGCAAGCUUUUUUUGCUGUUCAGUUGGACAACUCCCUAGCCAUUCUGGAGAUGGACUUGCUUUCCGGGACCUACCUCUUGGCAGUCUUAUUAGCCUGCAUUGUGUUCCAGUCUGGUGCUCAGGAGAAGAAUUAUACAGUGCGAGAGGAGCUGCCAGAAAAUGUCCUAAUUGGCAAUUUGCUUAAAGACCUCAACUUGACUCUGGACCCAGAUGUGCCUCUUUCAUCGCCUCUCCAGUUCAAACUUGUGUACAAGACAGGGGAUGUUCCGCUGGUCCGUGUGGAGGAGAAUACUGGAGAAAUAUUCACCACAGCUAACCGCAUUGAUCGGGAGAAACUUUGUUCUGGCAUUUUUAGUGAGAAUCGUUGUUUUUAUGAGGUGGAAGUUGCUGUCCUGCCUGAUGAAGUUUUCAGACUGGUCAAGAUUCGGUUUCUGAUUGAGGAUAUAAAUGACAACGCCCCUCUUUUUCCAUCAACGGUCAUUAAUAUCUCCAUCCCUGAGAACACGGCUGUCAACUCUCGUUAUUCUGUCCCAUCUGCGAUCGAUCCAGACAUUGGAGUGAACGGCAUUCAGCAUUAUGAACUCCUUAAGCCAAAAACAGCUCCAAAAAGGACAUUUGGAUCCAUUACUAAUGAACAGGGUCAAAAUGUAUUCGGACUCGAUAUAAUUGAGACACCUGAGGGGGACAAGUGGCCACAAUUAAUAGUUCAGCAGAUCCUCGAUAGAGAGCAGAAGGACACAUAUGUUAUGAAGAUUAAAGUGGAAGAUGGUGGGAAUCCUCCACGAUCGAGUACGGCCAUCCUCCAAGUGACUGUCACUGAUGUGAAUGACAACCGGCCAGUGUUCAAGGAGAAUGAUAUUGAAGUCAGUGUUCCUGAAAAUGCCCCCGUGGGCACCUCUGUUUCUCAACUUCAUGCUACUGAUGCUGACCUGGGGUCAAAUGCCCAGAUCCACUUUUAUUUCAGCAGCCAGAUAUCCAACUUAGCCAAAAGGUUGUUUGCCAUUGAUAAUGCCACUGGUCUCAUCACCAUCAAGGAGCCACUGGACCGGGAAGAAUCCCCAGUACACAAGUUAACAGUCGUGGCCAGUGACGGUAGCUCAACACCCUCAAGGGCAACAGUGACCGUGAAUGUCACAGACAUCAAUGAUAACAUCCCAUCAAUAGACACAAGGUACAUUAUCAAUCCAGUGAAUGGGACUGUGCUUUUGUCAGAGAAGGCACCACUCAAUACUAAAAUUGCCCUGAUUACAGUAAUGGAUAAGGAUGCUGACCUCAAUGGUAAAGUUACCUGCUUCACAGAUCAUGAUGUACCAUUCCGGCUAAAGCCUGUGUUUGAUAACCAGUUUCUGUUAGAGACUGCCAUGUACCUGGACUAUGAGGCCACCCGGGAAUAUGCCAUUAAAAUAGUAGCUUCUGAUUCAGGGAAGCCACCUUUGAACCAGUCUGCAAUGCUUCUCAUAAAAAUUAAGGAUGAGAAUGACAACGCCCCAGUGUUUACACAGCCUAUUAUUGGACUUUCUAUCCCUGAGAAUAAUGCCCCAGGCACCCAGCUGACUAAGAUAAGUGCUACAGAUGCAGACAGUGGCCGUAAUGCUGAGAUCAGCUACAUGUUGGGCUUGGACGCGCCUCCCAUUUUCAAUCUGGACCGCCGUACGGGAAUCCUGACAGCAGUAAGGAAGCUGGACAGGGAGAAACAAGACAGAUAUUCGUUCACAGUGCUAGCUAAAGACAAUGGCAUGCCACCCUUGCAGACCAAUGCUACUGUGACUGUAUCGGUGUUGGACCAGAAUGACAACAGCCCAGCUUUCACACACAACGAAUAUAAUUUCUAUGUGCCAGAAAACCUACCCAUGUAUGGCACUGUUGGAUUGAUCACUGUGACAGAUGCAGACUCAGGAGAGAAUGCAGCAGUGACAUUGUCUAUAUUAAAUGGCAAAGAUAAUUUCAUUAUCGAUCCACUCACUGGAGUCAUAAGACCCAACAUUACCUUUGACAGGGAACAGCAAGGAUCUUACACUUUCCAAGUGAAGGCUGUAGACGGAGGAAGAUUGCAACGUUCAUCAACUGCCAAAGUGACAAUCAAUGUGGUUGAUGUAAAUGACAACAGGCCUGUAUUUGUUAUGCCGUCGUCUAACUACUCCUAUGAAUUGGUUCCUACUUCGACUAGCCCAGGCUCUGUGGUUACAAAGGUGUUUGCUGUUGACAAUGAUACAGGAAUGAAUGCAGAGCUUCGCUACAGCAUUAUAGGUGGCAAUUCUAGGGGAUUGUUCAUGAUCGACCAGUUGACAGGCAACAUUACGUUGAAAGAGAAAGUUAUAUCAGCUGAUCAUGGGUUACACAGACUGGUUAUCAAAGUCAAUGAUUUAGGGCAGCCUGAAUCACUCUAUACUAUAGCAUUGAUACAUUUAUUUGUGAAUGAAACAAUCACCAAUGGAUCUUAUGUCCAAGAGUUAGUGCGGCGAAACAUGGAAACACCAGUAGGCCAAAAUGUUGGGGAUGGUGAGAUAACCCCGCAGACCAAUGACUAUGUGAAGAUCAUCAUUGCCAUCAUUGCAGGCACCAUGACAGUAAUAUUGGUCAUCUUUGUGACUGCUCUGGUGCGAUGCCGCCAAACGCCCAGGCACAAGGUUGUCCAGAAAAAUAAACAAAGUGGUGAAUGGGUCUCUCCAAACCAAGAAAACCGUCAGAUCAAGAAGAAGAAGAAGAAGAAAAAGCGUUCCCCAAAAAGCCUUCUUCUGAACUUUGUGACAAUUGAAGAAUCUAAACCUGAUGAUCCUGCCCAUGAACAUAUCAAUGGUACUUUGGACAUUCCUGUAGAGCUAGAGGAACAGACUAUGGGGAAAUACAACUGGGCCACCACACCAACCACUUUUAAACCCGACAGCCCAGACUUAGCGAAGCACUAUAAGUCUGCCUCCCCACAGCCCACUUUUCAAAUUAAACCUGAGACUCCAGUGGCACCGAAGAAGCAUCAUGUCAUUCAGGAACUGCCUCUGGAUAACACCUUUGUGGUGGGCUGUGAUUCACUCUCCAAGUGCUCCUCUAGUAGUUCGGACCCUUACAGUGUCUCCGAAUGUAGUUGUCAAGGAGGCUUCAAGACUCCAGGCUCCAUCCAUACAAGACAGCAUUCAAAAGAACUGGGAAGACCACAGACACAGACACCAUUAAAAGAGACAAGUCUAGAGUCAUGGACUCAGCCCCAGUCACAGCGACGAGUUACGUUUCAUCUGCCAGAUGGGUCUCAGGAAAGUUGCAGUGACAGUGGACUAGGCGACCACGAACCCAGUAGCACUGCAAGUACAUCACACCCUUUACCACUUGGUUUCCCCCAAGAGGAGUACUAUGAACAGACAUCACCCAACAGUCGGACAGAGGGAGAUGGCAAUUCAGAUCCAGAGUCCACGAUCGAAGUGAACCUCCAGAAAGCGCUUGCUGAAGUAUCUGAAACCUGCACACAAGAAUGUCUCAUUCUUGGCCAUUCUGACAACUGCUGGAUGCCUCCUUCGUUGACACAGUACCAGCAAUCUAACCCUCCUUUGCCAGCCUUUGGUUUCCAGCAGGGAUGGGGACGAGGAGCCAUGCCAGAGGGAAGGCACACUCUUGGAAGGUCCCUUCCUAAGGAUGAUACUGACAAAGGUCAAGGGGGUCCUCGGCCUCAGUUCUACAACACCUGUGAAAGACAUUGUGCCACCGAAGAGCCUGUCAAAGUUAUUCCCCUUGCAAACUUCAUUCCUGCUCAGGCCAGACCCGUCUCGGGGAGCAACACCACUUUGAUCCAUGAGCACCAGUUAUAAAAAGGCAUAUCUUGACAAAUUAAGCUAUUUCAGGCUUCAAAGUAUGAGUGUACAUAGUCACAUCUUAACACAAUUUUAAAUUUAUGCAAACCUCUUCAGGUUUGUAAAUAUUUAUGUAUAUAGAAUUCUGAAUUAAAGCUGAGCAGUAGUGCCCUAUGAAUUAAUGGCAGUGCAGACUCAGUAACUAGUAUGCAAAAAAUACCCACCCACUAACAAAAGAUUACAGACAUUGUCAUGGGAAAAAGUACAAUUUGAAGAGAAGGGCUGUCUUCCUCCUUAGAACUGGAUGAAAUUCACACAGUGGCAGUAAAAGAUAGGGGAACUUUCCAACUUUUUCUUUGCUUUCAGGUCAUCUCUUUAUCUUGGGCAUGAUAAAAACAGCAUAAUUGCCACUCACACUGAAUUCUUCAAAAGAUGAUUUAACAAGAACAGUCUUUUGCCUCCAUGACAUUGGUGAGCCCCAAUUUCAUUUUUAAAAAAAACCAACCUCAGACCAGGUCAUAGCAUUUGUUUCCUUUUUUAAAUCUUAUUUUAGAGAUUGUAUGUAGACGGAGUGAGGAUUUAAAACUUAUUUUUUCCCCAUUUUCUUGAUGUUAUUGGGAAAUUUGCCCCUUAUAAGGGGGGGGGGGAGGACUCAACAGCACUAGAUUAGGGAUUUUAGAGAGAGUUGUUUAAAGAAUCCCUAACAACACUGACCUAGUCUGGAUUACUUCCCUCCGUACUCACUUUAGAAUAAAAGGGAGGAAGCAACACUUAGUUACAUGUUAAACAUUUCAUACAGCAGGCAAUGUUAUCCAUAAUCUCCUUAGUUAUAAAGAAUCUCUCCAAAAUAUGCCAUCUUUCUUCCACAUUCAGAUUUUUUUCCCAGUUGCUAGUUCUUUCUGUCCUGCUGCAUGAAAUUUCAUAAAUUCUUCAAAAAUUGAACUAAAAUGUUGACCCAACUGCAUUGCCUAAAUUUUCAGCAUACACAGUGGCACAAUGCAAAGGUACUUUUUUUUGGGGGGGGGAGAGAUGAUAACAAAUUCUUAGUACUAAUAUGGUUGAAUAUAAAGGAAUUUGAACUCAAACUUUUAAAAGUCAACCCAUCAAGGCCCUAGUCACAAAUGGAUUAUCUCAUUUUAUUUCUCUCACAUUUUACCCCCCCCCAAAAAAAAACCUUCUUUUCAUUCCAAAUAUGAAGACAUUUAUGAAUUAUGGAAAAAAAUGAAUUCAUGAUCUUGCACUUCUUUGUGCGAGACCCCAGUUUUCGAUUAUAGAAAAGAGCUUCCACAAGCAGAGAAUGCUUCAUGCUGUAGAUGUAUUUGCUCUGAUUUGUGUAGAGCAAAGGAGAAAAGUAGAAAGGGGCAGAUCUAUUAUGCUCAUUUAUACUUUUUUUGUCAAAAUGAAUAAUUUGAAUGUGUUAAUAUAGUUAUUUUCUCUCUUUUCAUAUCUAUACAUAAAGAUAGGUAGAGAGACAGACAUCCAGAGUUGUGUCUGUGUGGAAAGACAGAGAAUGAUGGUUCUGUUUUUAGCAGAGCCACAGUAAGCAUGAAUAUAUGAGAUAUUUGUCUCAAGCACCUGAAUGGGAGAAAACAGAUGCCUUACUAUCCCAAGUAUGGAGAAGAGCACAUUUGCACAGCCCUAUUCAGUAAUUCCCUACUCAGAUACUAUGAAGCAGCAGCUGAUCUCUGGCCUUUUAGUUGGUACUUUUGACAGCACUACCAUGUGAGCAAGAAUCCAAAUUUCCCAUUUAUAGAAACAGCUGUGUAAACACUGAUGACAAAAGCAAAUCUCUUAAGUGUGAUGGGAACAACUAAGUGAAGUUCAAGUUGAAUUUGAAUUUAAAAUCCAAUUUAAUUUUAAUUCAACUCAGUUUUAACAAAUGAAUACUAAGAACAUAUUGGGUUGUACAAUUUUAUGUUCUUGUCUCAGGUGCAAAAUUAGAAAUUUAUGAUUCUUUUUUUUUAGUCUGUAGUUUUAGUCUUUAGGAGCUUGAAAAGAGCUCUCAAUCACUUUCCCCCCUUUCACCACUCCAAGAAGCUGUGUUCUAAGGAUGGCAUCCUCAACAUGAUAAUUGUCAAUAUAUGUGCUCCAAUUUAGUAGAUUUCACCCUAUAGCUUCAUAUGUAGCACACACUAAACUUAUUAGGAAAAAUGACUCCAAGUGCUUUGGCUCAGUAUAUUUGGAAGCAAAUCACUAAUAUUAAUCUCAAGAACGAGAAGUGGAAAACACAUAUUCACAUUGUAAUUAUGAUAUUCCCCUUGUUAUGCUAUUCCAUAGUAGCUUAAGGUGAUGUACCAGGAAGAUUAAACAUUCAUGACCAAUCUCUAUGUGCUAGCUUUCAUAUAUAGCAUAAUGAAUAAAUUGUGAGUGAAUUCUAUGCCAGAUACAAAGACAUCUUUCUUAGAUAAAACAGUCCUGGUCCUUUUACAUUUUAUUUCUUUGAUUAAUGAAAUCUUGUUGGGGAGAAGAAAAGAAUACAUUAAAUAGUUAACGACAAAAGAAAAGAAUACGUUAAAUAGUUGAUGACAAAAAAUCCUGCAAAAUAAUUCUAUAUAGGUUGAUCAAUGAAAUUUAAAAUUUUGUACUUUAUUAAUAGAGCGUUGUGUGUAGAUUGCUGUAAUAUAAAAAUGCUUGUAAAUUUAUAAAAAUUCACAUUGUCAAGGAUUCCAAUGAAUGCUGAAAGGGCUCCGAUCCCUAUUUGACCAACGGAUAUAAAUAGUUUUACAUAUUGUCAUUCCCACUGACACAUUUUGCUUUAAUGUAUAAAAUAAAAAAAUAAUAAUGGUAAUAGUAGGAGGAAAAGUUUCACUUCAAACUUUACAGUAGUAUUUCCUUCAUAAAGCCUCCAAGCUUAGUCUGUAUCUAAUCCUAGUUUUCAACAACAACAAAAGUUUUAGAUAAGAAGUGGCACACUGGAAUUCAGUUGCUUUAGAUACUCACUGCUUAUUGGAGCACAGCUAAAAUUAUGACAAGCUACUCAAUAUCAGUGAUGUUCAGUGCUGGAAAAUGUUUGAUCCACAAUCAAAAUAUAUAUUUUUGUCACCUAGUAGUGAGUAUUGACAGCAUAUAUGUACCCACCUACCUGCAGUUAACUGUUAAAUAUAAUUAGGAAGGGAAUUUUAGUGAAUUUACCCAACUGUUACUGUGCGAUGCUAUUAACAAAAGUGUACCCAUAUCUUUUGGUGUUCCAUCAUUGGGCAGAAAUCAUGAGAAAGCUUCAGUUUAAAAUGAUUAUUGUAUGCAUGUAAAUGAAUACAGCUAAAAUGUGUAUGUUUGAAAAAAAAUUGUAGAAAUAUUAUUUUAGUUAAAGGGGAAAUUGUUUAAAAUGUGUGCAUUGGGAAAAUGUGUAAUAUGUUACCUUGCAUUAGGAGAUGUGCAUACCAAAAUGGGGAAGAAUAUAUGCUUUAAAUAUAGCCCAAUAUAGACAUUAUGAGAAUGUAGGUAGAAUUUUGAGAAAAAGAAAGAAAAUAAGACUUACAGAUUUUUGCAUUCCUAUCUUUGAUGCUUACCUUUGUUAUUUAAUAUUUGUCAUGUAAACAAUUAUUUAUAGGGCCACCAUAUUUUAAUUUAUUAAAAUCUCUGGUCAGAGACUGAUUUAGGUAGAUCUGAAACUUGCUUCUGAUUCAGAAUCAUCUCUGGAAUUCUGUAGUGACAUUGUGCCCAGAGGUCAAUAGCAGAGCAUGCAGUUUAGCCAGAAGCAGUUCACUCUCAGGAAUACUAAAUUCUUCAAUCUGGAUUUCCAGUUUAUAAUUUCAGUGAGAAAUGGAUGACCGCUGUGUCCAGAGGUUACACUGUGCAAAGUGCCAACAAAUAAAAAUUUCUCACUGGGAUGGAGAUUUUUUUAAAUUCCAGAAUGGAAUUUGUUUCCACAUUAAAUGGUGCAAGGCAGGGGAGGCCUUGUAAUCAUGCUCCUGAAGGCUUCCAGGAAAAUAAUUCACCCUUCUAUUGCUGGAAAAAUAGGGACUGUUUGAGAAUUCAAGCCCCAAAAGCAGCCCAAGAGCCACAUUUUGUCCACCCCUACUCUAGAUUUUCAACAUCCUAGUGAUUUGGUAAACCUCAUUUAGAAACCUACAGUUGAAUCCAAUGUUGCUUGUGACUUAGCAGUUGGCCUACAUUAACUGCUCACUUUAGCUCAGUUUAGUGCUAAAGGCUUGGUCCUAUCCAAAAUUCCCAGCAGAGAUGUGUGCCAUUGUUAUUUAACAAAAUCUGCACCGUUUAUACAAUGAAGCUGUCUCUUAUUGUUAGAGAGGUGUGACAAUAUUCUUAUUAAGUAAUUAUAAGUGAUUGAUAUGCUCAAAUAAAGAUGUGCAGUCUGAGAACCUGAUUAAUAGAUUCUAAUUGUGCACAAUCCACUAGGCAUACAUUUAGGGGAAAACACUUCCUUCAGUGAAAGGCACUUUGGAUCCAAACCAAAGAGGGCACCUGUACAAGUACCAUUGAUCAAUAAAUGGGAAUUCUGCACGAGUAACGCACAGAACUCAUGGCGAGGUUUUUUUUCCUUUUUCCCAGACAAAGCCUGGACUCCAUCAACCUUUGUUCACUGGAUGUAUUUUUUUCACUAUGCAUACAAUGUCUUUUGAAUUAAAGAUGACAGAUCCUUAAAUCAUGAAAAAUUAUUGGUUUGAGAAAAUGGUUUCAGAAACUAGCUUCCUUAUAUCCAUUUGCAUGGAUGAAAUAUUCGACUAUUUUUAACCCACCCAUCAGAGUGAAUCCAAUAGCAAAUUGAGAGUGCUGUCAGGAAAAUCAAUACCAAAAAAUCAUAGUUAAUGUGUUGCAAUGGCCAUAGUUCCUGUUAGAUCCUGCCAGAGUAUAUGAAAAGGAAUUGUAUGACCUUUUAAGCUAUAUAUAGGAAAAUGAUACAAGCCUAAAAUAUCAAAAUAUAUGUUUUAGCAUUUUUAUAACCAAUUAAGCCCAUUUAUGCUAUUCUUUUCUGCCAAUAACCGGGACUCGAACCAACAGUGGUAAAAUUCAAUAAGGACAAGACUAAAACACAAAUCAGGUUAAGAACAGAAUUGAAAACAGGACCACCGAGAUCACUCUCAUCAGUUUAGCAGCUUAGAAAAACUGCAGCUUAAUUGACAAAAGUCUAUCUGAGAAAGAUGUGGACUUUAAAAAAAAAAUUAGUACCAGUCAAUAAAUGUAACCUGUUCAAAUACAUGUCAAAUUAUGUCAAAAACACACAAUAAAAGAACACAGAAUUUUUUAAAAAAAACAAUGAAUUAAUAAACAUCUUUGAACAAGAAGACUUUUCAUAUUGAACAAUUUGAGCAAAUCCUAAGGUUUCUAGUCAGACAAACAUUACAUAACAAAUCACUUGGAAUUUUUGCAAGAGGGGACAAAUUAAGUCAUUCCUUAUUGGUUCAUAGAACUUGCAGUACUUAUUUUAUUUAUUUAUUUAAUUUAUAUGCUGCCCACUCUACCCAGAGUGGAAGGACAUGAGGCAAAAAUUCAGGAGCUUCAACUAUGCAUGCAUGCAUGCUGACCCAUCUGUGCACAUAUGGCAGAUAGCCUCUCAAAUUAUGGAGUUUAAGAUACAGAGAACAGCAGCUGAGGACAUCCUCUCUUGACAAGCAUAUUUGUGAGGAUAGACCAAGAGGAAACUGCCAAAAAUCUUAACACCUUAGCAGGAUGGCAUAUUAUUUUAUUGCUUAGCCAUGUAUCAUAUGAUAUAUCAAAAUAUUCUGAAUUUAAUAUAGCUGUCUCAUUUAAGCCCUUGUAAGUAUGAAUACAAAUUUAUUUAUUUACCAUAAAUGUUAUGUAAUGUUAUUAAUUUUUUCUUUGCAUCCCGGUGUUCUACCGGUGCAAUGUUGAGUCCAAAUUUAGACUGGUCAAUUCAAGUGCUUGAUUCUGCCUCCACCACUUUCCCCUGUGUAAAUUUCAGAGUUGGAUAGGCAGUAAAGUGGUUGGAACAAAUUUAAGGGAAUAACAAAUGUUUUGAUUCUAUUCUGAACUAUUAAAACAGACAUGUCUGCCUACAUGGUCAUUCCUGCUCAAAUUGUUCUACUGGAGACAGAAAACUAUGAGAAUUUCCUCUUUUUCCCCUCAUUUUGAAUUUUUGAAAAAUUUUGCUGAGAAAUAUGUGACCACUGGUGAAUGGUCUAAAAGAAAAGAAAAAUUCUUAAAGAAAAAAUAAUGCCAUUUGUAAAAUUUUAAAACAUAUCUUCCUGGCAUGGUGAAGACCACAUUCUACACAAGUUUUCAAGGGGGUGUUGCAUGAUAAUAAAUUUCUGAGGAAAUCAUCACCAAAAAGGAAGACAUCUGUUCCAAAGGUCACACACACACACACAGACACCCUAGAUAAAAUCAUUGUGUGUGUUUUCUUUGUUUAUUUAUUGUUUUUCCCCUGUGUGAUGAGAUCAUCAAGCGAACAUCCAUGUCUUGAUUGGUUCUUAUGGGAAGAACUGCUAUUUUCCCCCUUAAUAUACAUUUUAUACAAACUUUUAAUAAACCUAGCCUAUACAUGGAGGUGUUAGUUUUUUCAUUAUAUUUAAAAUUUGAUUUUGAAGCUGAAAAGCAUUGCAAGAGAUAAGCAAUGAGACAAAAAUAGAAAAAAAUAUUGUUUCUUCCUGUAAUAAAAAUUUUGUUUAUUUGGCUUUUUCAGAAAACUUUCCAAAAAUGUUUUUAUACAACUAUUUCAUUUAUUCUUACCAUUCAUUAGCUUCCUCUGCAAAUAAACACAACAAACGUAUUUAUUACUUCAGAGGUUAUUCCAGAUAGGAAAAAAAUAGGAAAAUAGGAAUCUAUUUUCAAUAUUUUAACACAGUAUCCCAAGUUAUGGUCUCUGUUAACACAAAUGUGUGACUAAUUUUAAUUAACAAAGGAAAGUUUUCUCAUUAACAAUCUUUGUUUAUUAUGUAUCUAGAAAGUUCUAUGCACUGAAAUUCAUGGAAUCUUUGCUUCAUGUGCAAAUCCAGUUCAUUUCAAAACCUUUCACAGGAACUGUUCACAUCACAUUGUACCCUGGGCUUCUUUAAAAUGAAAUGUUGGAUUUGUGACAAUAAAUAGGUGGAAGGCAAAAUUUACAUUUCGUUAAUCACAGGAAACAAACUGUGUGUAUUAGCCCUAGUUAUGAAAAGAUAAAUGAAAGGAAAAAAACUGUUGUAAAUAUCAGUAUUAGAGUUUGUACUUCAGGGAGAUAUUUUCACUCUGUGAUAUAUUACAGGAUUUGAAAAUGAUUAAGUGUAUUUGUACCGAAGCUGCCCUAAUCCACUCUCUCGAAGUGUGCUGUUGGGCAUCAUAUGCUGUUACGUCCAAUAGCUUUGUAAGUCAAACCCACUGUAGUUCUCUUUCAGGUUAUGUACAGCAUGUUGUCAUGUUAAUUAAGAUGCUUAUUAAUAAAAUUAGAA